GAUUAUUACCGCGGCUGCUGGCACCAUGGCGGACGGGUGAGUAACGCGUAUGUAACCUACCCUGUACAGGGGGAUAACCCGGAGAAAUUCGGACUAAUAUCCCAUAACAAUAUCCGGGGGCAUCUUUGGAUAUUUAAAGUUCCGGCGGUACGGGAUGGGCAUGCGUAACAUUAGCUAGUUGGUAAGGUAACGGCUUACCAAGGCUUUGAUGUUUAGGGGUCCUGAGAGGGUGGUCCCCCACACUGGUACUGAGACACGGACCAGACUCCUACGGGAGGCAGCAGUGAGGAAUAUUGGUCAAUGGGCGCAAGCCUGAACCAGCCAUCCCGCGUGCAGGAAGACGGCGCUAUGCGUUGUAAACUGCUUCUCCAGGGAGAGAAACUUGCGCACGUGUUGCGCAAUUGACGGUACCCUGGGAAUAAGCAUCGGCUAACUCCGUGCCAGCAGCCGCGGUAAUAAU
This 460-nucleotide ribosomal RNA is filed under the name uncultured bacterium. Its description in RNAcentral is "bacterial SSU rRNA". It matches the Rfam family "Bacterial small subunit ribosomal RNA", at positions 70 to 526 of the family's 1533-position model. The record is from RNAcentral.